CACAAAUAGUGCCUUUUCUCGUAAAAAUAUUAAGUAACUGGAGACAGUUAUUGAAAUCUAGAAAACCUUUUAAAAAUGAGCUUCCCCCUAAUGUUUUAAUUCCAUAGAACUGCCUCCUGAAAUGAUGGCUGUGGAUCAGCGAGGGAAAUUGCCUCCCGCGUCUGUUCUGGCAGGCUCUCUGGUUCCCUUCCCCCCUCUCCUAUUCCCCAAAACCACGGUGAGCACCACUGAAACUCUGGGAACAAUUCUGUAAACUCUGAAGCUUGAGGAAUUUCACAGCCCCUCGGCCUCCAGAACGGAAGGAGGGUUGUGACUUGUCUUUUCGGCUUGUCAGAAGUGCCACCAUGUUGGGAGGAAGCCCAGGCCACAUGGAGAGGCCCACUAGUCCUCUGUCAAUAGGCAGCGUCAACCACCAGCCAGUGGGAGUGAUCCUUCAGAUAGUUCCAGACCCUAGCUGAGGGCCCAGAGGCUAUGGACAAGAUGGCCCUGCUGUGCUAAAUUCCUGACCCCUGCACACUUUGGAGGUAAUAAAUAACUGUUGUGGUUUUGAGUUACUAAGUUUUGGGGGAUAGUUUGUUAUGCAGCAAUAGCUAGCUAAUACAUAGGCUCCAUGGGCAAGCUGGGCCCACAGAGAGGAAGAGCCCUCAGGGUCUGUGGGAGACCUCCAAGUAAACAGACGAUUCUGUUUGAUGAGGCUUCAACAGAGGGCAGCACUGGGAAAGUGUGUCCAACUCCCCUGGGGGAGUAGGGGUGGGGGUUCAGAAAGGCUUUUUGGAAGAGAUGACACUUUAGCUUGGUCUGGAAAGACAGGUAAGAGCUAGCCAGGGGAGGGUGGAAAAUGGGGCUGAGUGUGGGGAGAGGGCACUCUGGGGAGAACCUGGAUGAGGGGCCAAAUCCCUGGGGAAUGGCUCUGCAGGGAGUUUGGCUUUCUCACUCGGUAGCUGAGUGACAGGUCUAAGAACUGGCAUCCUCCGGGGCCUCACAGCCGGCACAGCCCCUUGCAUCUGCCCAGAACAAAUGGAGUCAAGACUGUGACUCAGAAACCCUGUCCCUAGCCGGGCUCUGCGCCCUGGCAGGGUGUGAGGCAGUGGCCCCACAGACAGCAGUGGCGAGUUCUCCGGGAGCGUGCCCUUCUUCCUUGGGCUGAGCCAGCCUGUGAAGGGACUGGGGACUGGUGGUGGUGAGGAGAGUCAGCAGCCAUGGCCAGUGUUGACCGGCCAGCAUUGGGAAGUCCAGAAAUGGUCCCCUUCUCAGAGGGGAAAGGUGUUUGAUAGGAAUCACAGCAGCAUCAAAGUGUGCAGGUUGAGGCUGACUUGCUGCGCAGCAAGACCGGGAUCUGGCUCCUUCAGAUGCUCCCGGCCACUCCCUGUGGCCCACCCACACUGCAUGACCCAUGUUCUCCAAACACAACUUCUCCCUGGUAUCCUUGGGUCUUGGCCUGGGCUCCUCCUUAUGCCAGGAAUGUCCUUCCUGCCAUUUUCACCUAAUCCCUGGUCUCAGGUGGCCCCUCCUCCAGGAAGACCUCAGAGAUACCCCAGGCUCCUCAGGAUGCCCCCUCUGUCACAGCCCUGAGAUGUGGGGAUGCUAUGGCCUUGCCAACUAGGCAUAGGACAGUGGGACGUUAGGGUAGGUGGGCUUGGUGUGCGUGUGUGUGUCUGUAAGUAACUUGUGGUUCGGAUCUGUGUGUCAUAACUAAGGGUGUGUGCUUGUGUGUGUCUGUGACUCACUGUCCAUGUGUAUCUCAUCCUGGAUAUGUCCAUAUGUGUCUUUUGUGACUGCAUGCCUAUGUGUGUUCGUGUCUGUGUGGGAUGCUCUCUUGGGGCCAAGAGCAGGGGGUGGCGACAGUCACUACCCAGUCAAAAGCCAGCCAGCUGUGUCCCCAUGAGUCUCUUGCCUGCCAGCCUCCCAGCCAGCCCGCCCCAGCACGACACUCUGUGCCCCCUCUUCCCGGUUCUGACUCACGGCACAGACACAGCCUGUGGUGCUGCUCGCCCUCCGGCGCCCCUGCAUGGGUGGCAUGCGUGUGGACAUGGCCAGCAUCUGCCUGGUCUCCAUGCUGCUCACUAAGGCAUGAAUUAUAAUUCCUGGGCCGGCUGCAUUUACAACCAACUUGACAGAAAUAAUUGUUGAGUGAGUUGAAAGAAAAAAAAAUGUAACAGGGAACUUCAACCCAGCUAUCCAUCCGUGUCAUUAAAUUAGGCUAAUCUAAAUCCUCAGAGCCUAAUUUAGCAGCCUCCAAGGCCAACUGAAACCUUACCCUACAUGGCUCGCUGGAGUUCCCGUUACAAAGUCCCCAGCAGAGGUGAGCUUCAGGGGACACGGUGGACAGUGACCUCACAGCCUGAGGACAUGCAGAGCCUGUGGCGGCCACCAGCCACUCCUCAGGGACCUGGCUUUGCAGCAGGAAGCCUGAGCUGAGAGGCAGGCCUCUUUCUUGUGUUGCCCCUGCCUGUGUGUAAGUCACCCGGCCGCCGCAGGCCUCCUCUGCUCUGCCCAGCUCACCAGGGCCAUUAGGAGCAUCGACGGGGAGCAGCUGGGGCAGAGGCGAGGCCCGGCUGCUCCAUAGUUGCCUUAGGUUUGCUUCUCCAGGCUGUGGCUUGUUGAUACCACCCACUGGGUGAACGGGAGAAAGAAUGAGACAUGAACCUGUGCUAUAUAGUCCAACUUUUGUAAGGACCGCUGUGAAUCAUUAAUUCCUUUGCCCAUCCAGACACUUAGUGACUCAUUAAUUCAACCAUUCCUCCCCUCCUUUAUUCAUUCUUUUCUUAGAUCCCUCACUCCCUCAUUCUCUCUGAUUUACUCAUUCAUUCGCGGGCCUUCCUUCCCUUCCUUUCAUUCCAUGCUUUGGGGAAUGGCCUUGUAGAUGCUCAUCCCAGUGGCUGCCCAGAAAUGAAAAGAACUUGGGGCCCACGGCCCCAGUCAGUGCCCAGGCCAGGCUCCCGAACUUGCCCCCUCUUCCUCUCUCCUUGUCUGUGGCUCCCACUGCCCCCUCACUGGAGCGCACUUCCUCUCUGCUCCCCUCCCUCAGGGGGCGUGGGAGCUGAUGGUGGGCUGGUGGGAAGGCCUUUGCUGGGGACACUUGGGGGGAAAGGUGUUGAACUGACCUGAUAAAUGAACCAACAGGGAUGUGUGGCCUGGCCACCCUCCCCCUUUGAUCAAAAGCCUCUGAACCCCUGAUGACAUCCCAUGGCGUAUUCCUCUAUUAAUCAGAAAAGCCUUGACAGAUGUAAGCAAUUUGUCUUUGGAAAGGACUGGAAGGGGCCGGGGGAGGGAGCUCACUCCAGCCCCGUCCUCGUGGAGAAGAUGCUGAGGGUAAGUCUUGAAAUGGGGGCUGAAUUCAUGCAUACUAAGAAGGCAAGAGAACGAGAGCCAGGCAGAUCAGAAAGAGAAGCGUUUUCAUUUCAAAGCAUAUUUCUUCCUUGAUUGAACAGGGCCCCCCCAACACCACCAUGAGCCACGACGCUGGAAUGAGGCUGGGAUCCAGGGGUUAAUCCCACCCAGACCCUGUCAGGGCUCUGAUGCUUGAAGUGACAGGGGCUCCCCGGGUGGGCUCAGGUGUGGCUCCCAACACUCUCCUGAGGCCGUGCCUGCUGGUGAUGAUGACACUCGCACCAAGCACCACCGAACGCCAAAUGAAUGUGCCGUGUGGCGGGUCCGGAGCUGAACUGGAGGUGCAGAGAGGAAAUAACGUCAGCUCUCCAAAACCCCCCACCUGAACUGCUGGGCAGAAAAAUCACCCGAGAAUGGGUUUUGGCAUGGGGUGGACAAGGGAGGGAGUGUAGCAGGUACAGAGUGGAUACAGAGAGGGAGUCACCAACUCAACAAGAAGGGACCCUCCCAGAGGGGGAGACGUAGGCUGGGACUUCGAGGAUGAGAAGAUGUGCUUGCAUGAGAAGGGCCUUCGCUUCUUUGUCAGUUUGGAGAACUUCUACUCAUCCUUCAAGACCCAGCUUGGGCCUCCCCCUCUGUUAACCUCUUUUCCUCACUGAUUCUUGAGGUCAGGAACUGUGUCUGAUUCAUCUCUGUGUCCCUGUGCCCAGCCCAUGGCCUGGCAUAGAGUAACAACAAUUGCUCCCUGAUGUGAGUGGAAUGGAGUUACAGGCAGUGGGAACAGCAUGUGCAAAGGCUUGGAGGCAGGCAUGAUUCAGCACAGGGUACAGAGAACUGCAGCCUGUGUUUGUAUCAGUGGGGGUGUGAGUAAACGAUGUUCUGUGUCAGCAGGGAAACUGAAAGCCAAAUUGCAUUUCUCGCUUGUCGCUUGGCUAUCUGGCACCAUACCAAGGCAGCCUAAAGAUCUGACUGCAGCCGAGGAG
Long non-coding RNA from Equus caballus (horse), 4313 nucleotides. Lineage: Eukaryota; Metazoa; Chordata; Mammalia; Perissodactyla; Equidae. The record is from Ensembl.